This is a non-coding RNA of Phrynosoma platyrhinos (Desert horned lizard), 71 nucleotides long. The record is from the annotation of a GenBank genome assembly. NCBI's taxonomy places the organism in Eukaryota, Metazoa, Chordata, Lepidosauria, Squamata, Phrynosomatidae.
AGCAGCAUAGUGUAGUGGUUUAACAUUUAACUAGAACUCUGGAGACCAGGGUUUGAAUCCCUGCUUAGCCA